RNAcentral lists this long non-coding RNA (388 nucleotides) under Fukomys damarensis (Damara mole-rat). Its description in RNAcentral is "lncRNA (ENSFDAG00000024332.1)". Lineage: Eukaryota; Metazoa; Chordata; Mammalia; Rodentia; Bathyergidae. The record is from RNAcentral.
GCCAGGUAGGAAAAGCCAGGUAUAAACAUGAUCUAUGUGUUUGCUAGUAGUAAAGUGACCUUGCGGUAUCCCUAAUUAAUAUCUACCUAGCACACACUGUUUUCUCUCCCCAGCAUGAUGAUUUGAGGGAUGAGGAAGAGAAAAGGAAGGGGCCUGAAUGAGGCUGAGAUCUACUCAGUGCCUGUGCCAGAGCGAAAAGGGUCUCCAGGGAGGAGUGACCCGAGGGGACGGCAUCUCCAGCAAGGUGUGACAAGAGCCCCAGCAGCCCAGGAUGGCUACAAGGACAGUGCAAAACAGGGAAGGGGACUGACUGUCUUCUGAAAUCACUGGAGAAGAUACAGAGCACGUAGUUAAAGGAAAGCAUAAAAAGUAAAAAUAAACACCAGCA